GCCUUGAGAGCUCAGUUAGUAGAGCAUGGUGCUGAUGACAUCAAGGUUCUAGGUUCAAUCCCCAUAUGGGACA
Non-coding RNA from Podarcis lilfordi (Lilford's wall lizard), 73 nucleotides. Lineage: Eukaryota; Metazoa; Chordata; Lepidosauria; Squamata; Lacertidae. The record is from the annotation of a GenBank genome assembly.